Non-coding RNA from Camellia sinensis, 648 nucleotides. The record is from RefSeq and is a predicted model, not a curated record. Lineage: Eukaryota; Viridiplantae; Streptophyta; Magnoliopsida; Ericales; Theaceae.
UAAAGGGUGAUCGUUUGGUUGAUUCCCUGGAAUAAAAUCCGAACUCCUCAAAACUUUUGAAAAAAAAGAGGAAAGGCAAACAUUGAAAUUUUAAAUAAGAAAAACGGCACUUUAUUUUGAAAAAGGAUUUUGAAAAAAAUAGAAGUUGAAAUUUGAUCACACACUUUUGAACAUAAAUUGGGGCACAUUUAGGGAGAUAAUAAAUAAUGGAAAGACAAUUGUUUAGAUUGAUCACUCUGGUAGGAAUCGUUUAUAUUCCUCAAAAUUCCCUUGGUCAGGCAACUAUCACCUAAUGGCGUUAAACAAAAUUGGCUGGGUCAAUUCACCUUUCCUCAGGUUUGUUGCAUAAUAUCUUGGACACAAUUCAUGGGUUAUGUUAUGUCAAUAAGGCAAGCAUGAGAUUAUGCUACUAGUACUGUUUGAUCAUUCCCUUGUGGAAGGAGUGGUAUUUUGAUAGUAAUAACUGAUGUACCCUUUUGUGACCAAAUUUACCUUUUGCAUAUAGAGAGCAUUAGCACCUUCCAAACUAGAAUAGGAUACCCUCCUUUCUAGGAUUGUAUUAUUGCCUCUUUGGAUGAUUUAGUAAAUCCUCGGUCUGAUAUCUAAAUUAGGACAGGGCAACCCUACCCCCCCUCCCCCAAUAAACAU